This 734-nucleotide long non-coding RNA is filed under the name Gallus gallus (chicken). The record is from RNAcentral. Lineage: Eukaryota; Metazoa; Chordata; Aves; Galliformes; Phasianidae.
UUCCGUGGCUUCCAGUAAGGUUUGCAGAUGAGGUUUUCUGGCUGUAGCAAUAAUUCACAUGGCCGAGUUCGGAAAAAGAAUGGGUGAUAAUUACUUUCAUUUUUAAUGGAAGGAAAAGGCACAAUCUUGACAAAGUAAUCUGUUUCAAACUUCAGAUUUGCAAAGGGAUUGGAUUCCAUUCCUGUUCUUUUAAAACUUGGGCUGAGCUGCUUUGGAUCUCUUAAAACCAUCUGCUGACAUUGCCUUCCCUCUGAUUUUAACUCUUCAAGUAUUACACGGAAUCCUCUCAGGUAUUCAAUCCCAAUGGCAUUUGCUGUCCAAAGUAUUGUGACUGCAACUUGUUCAUAACAUGCAUACUGACUGAUUGUUAUAUUCUGCACAUCUCCAAUCACAUGCUUUCCCACUGAAUUCAGGUAAGGAGUGCAGUUGUCAUAUUUAAAGGUGAUAUUGAGAAGCCCAUUGCUCUUGGUGACAGAUGACAGGCCCCGCCCUCCGCAGGCGUCGGCCGCCGCCCCCCUCCUGCCGCCGGGCCCCCCGGCCGCCUCCGCGAGCCGCCGUCCCCCGCAGAAGGCGAGGAGAGCGAGGAGGAAGGCGCCGAGCUCCCGCCCCGGGGCCAUGGUCCGCAGCAGCGGCCGCGGAGCGCGGGCAGCGCGGCGGCGGCGUGGCGGAGAGCGGCCGCGUGCAUGCGCGCCGCCGUCCCGGGGCGGGGGGCUGCGCCUCGGCGGGCACGCGCG